AGAGUUUGAUCAUGGCUCAGGAUGAACGCUGGCGGCGUGCUUAACACAUGCAAGUCGAACGAACCUUCGGGUUAGUGGCGGACGGGUGAGUAACGCGUGAGAAUCUGCCCUCAGGAGGGGGAUAACGGUUGGAAACGACCGCUAAUACCCCAUAUGCCUACUGGUGAAAUGAAUUUCGCCUGAGGAUGAGCUCGCGUCUGAUUAGCUAGUUGGUGAGGUAAUGGCUCACCAAGGCUUCGAUCAGUAGCUGGUCUGAGAGGAUGAUCAGCCACACUGGGACUGAGACACGGCCCAGACUCCUACGGGAGGCAGCAGUGGGGAAUUUUCCGCAAUGGGCGAAAGCCUGACGGAGCAACGCCGCGUGAGGGACGAAGGCCUCUGGGCUGUAAACCUCUUUUCUCAAGGAAGAAGAUAUGACGGUACUUGAGGAAUAAGCCACGGCUAAUUCCGUGCCAGCAGCCGCGGUAAUACGGGAGUGGCAAGCGUUAUCCGGAAUUAUUGGGCGUAAAGCGUCCGCAGGCGGCUUUUCAAGUCUGCUGUUAAAGCGUGGAGCUUAACUCCAUCAUGGCAGUGGAAACUGAAAGGCUUGAGUAUGGUAGGGGCAGAGGGAAUUCCCGGUGUAGCGGUGAAAUGCGUAGAUAUCGGGAAGAACACCAGUGGCGAAGGCGCUCUGCUGGGCCAUUACUGACGCUCAUGGACGAAAGCCAGGGGAGCGAAAGGGAUUAGAUACCCCUGUAGUCCUGGCCGUAAACGAUGAACACUAGGUGUCGGGGGAAUCGACCCCUUCGGUGUCGUAGCUAACGCGUUAAGUGUUCCGCCUGGGGAGUACGCACGCAAGUGUGAAACUCAAAGGAAUUGACGGGGGCCCGCACAAGCGGUGGAGUAUGUGGUUUAAUUCGAUGCAACGCGAAGAACCUUACCAGGGUUUGACAUCCUGCGAACCUCUUAGAAAUUUGAGGGUGCCUUCGGGAAUGCAGUGACAGGUGGUGCAUGGCUGUCGUCAGCUCGUGUCGUGAGAUGUUGGGUUAAGUCCCGCAACGAGCGCAACCCACGUUUUUAGUUGCCAGCAUUUAGUUGGGCACUCUAGAAAGACCGCCGGUGAUAAACCGGAGGAAGGUGUGGAUGACGUCAAGUCAUCAUGUCCCUUACACCCUGGGCUACACACGUACUACAAUGCUACGGACAAAGGGCAGCAAACUCGCGAGAGCUAGCAAAUCCCAUAAACCGUGGCUCAGUUCAGAUCGUAGGCUGCAACUCGCCUACGUGAAGUAGGAAUCGCUAGUAAUCGCAGGUCAGCAUACUGCGGUGAAUACGUUCCCGGGCCUUGUACACACCGCCCGUCACACCAUGGAAGUUGGCCAUGCCCGAAGUCGUUACUCCAACCCUUGUGGAGGAGGACGCCGAAGGUGGGGCUAAUGACUGGGGUGAAGUCAUAACAAGGUAGCCGUA
RNAcentral lists this ribosomal RNA (1449 nucleotides) under uncultured bacterium. RNAcentral describes it as "bacterial SSU rRNA". It matches the Rfam family "Bacterial small subunit ribosomal RNA". The record is from RNAcentral.